Molecule: ribosomal RNA, 497 nt
Filed under: uncultured bacterium
Lineage: Bacteria
Description: partial 16S ribosomal RNA
Rfam family: Bacterial small subunit ribosomal RNA
Source: RNAcentral
GAUGAACGCUGGCGGCGUGCCUAAUACAUGCAAGUCGAGCGAACAGAUAAGGAGCUUGCUCCUUUGACGUUAGCGGCGGACGGGUGAGUAACACGUGGGUAACCUACUUAUAAGACUGGAAUAACUCCGGGAAACCGGGGCUAAUGCCGGAUAACAUUUAGAACCGCGUGGUUCUAAAGUGAAAGAUGGUUUUGCUAUCACUAAUAGAUGGAUCCGCGCCGUAUUAGCUAGUAGGUAAGGUAACGGCUUACCAAGGCAACGAUACGUAGCCGACCUGAGAGGGAGGUCGGCCACACGGGAAGUGAGACAGGGUCCAGACUCCUGCGGUAGGCAGCAGUCGGGAAUCUGCCGCAAUGGGGGAGAGCCUGACGGAGCAACGCCGCGUGAGUGAUGAAGGUCUUCGGAUCGGAAAGCUCUGUUAUUAGGGGAGAACCAAUGUGUAAGUAACUGUGCACGUCUUGACGGUACCUGAUCAGAAAGCCCCGGCUAACUACGUG